Molecule: long non-coding RNA, 2477 nt
Organism: Pomacea canaliculata
Lineage: Eukaryota; Metazoa; Mollusca; Gastropoda; Architaenioglossa; Ampullariidae
Exons: 3
Source: RefSeq, a predicted model, not a curated record
AUAAUAAUUGUCAGACAUGACAAGGGUACAAUAAUACAGGCAGUUGAGACCCUCGAUGUGCAUGGUGUUGACAAUGGCUAUGGCUUUACCAGUCACAUUCAUGAGGGUAAAGAUUAGAGUUAAAUGCUGUUUGAGUUGUACAUAUUAUGGUAUUUUAUACCUGAAAUAUUCUUUGUUUCUGAAUAUAUGUUUUCAACUUCAUCCCGCUAACAUAAUGUUUCAACUCCUCCUGAUGAUAAUUCUCACCCUAAGAAAACACCUACUGUAAUGCACAAAAAUCACUAAGUCAAGAUAUCUGUUUGUGUCAAUACAGAUGGUACAGACGAUGAGAAAAUCAUAAAAUUUUUUCUGGGAAGAAAAUGGCGUGAAGUUUGGCAAUUUCACGUGCAAUGCUUCCAGUUAUUUCCCAGAAGUCCGGUACAUCUGGAGUGUCCCCUGUCAAUCUGAGUCUCUUAUAAACGGUGCCAGCGUAUGCAGAACUGCUUUUGAAGAAAGGAGGUCAGAGGUCACUUGCAUUGCAGUUUACUCUUCAGGGGGCUUUACUGUUGAAGAUUAUUCUAACAAAAAUAUUCCUGAUAGUAGGAGGUGGACUUGGUAUGCUUGGGAUUUUGUCCUUUUUCGUUGGUAUUGCUGUUUACCUAAAGCGUCGAAAAGGGUCAGAAACAACCUCGGAAGUCAAUGACCAGGCUGACCAAGCUCACCACACGGAUGAAACUACUGCUAAAAUAAGUGCAGCUUCAAUGUCAGACUGUCGACAAUCUUCUGAAGAUGCUGACUUCUAUGAAAAUGUGGAUCAAGAGACAGUGGAUCAAGAAACAGUGGAUCAAGAAACAGUUGAUAAAGAAACAGUGGAUCAAGAAACAGUGGAUCAAGAAACAGUGGAUCAAGAAACAGCAAAUGCCUCGAAGAAAUCAGCUUCAACACCACUCACCAAAACUAUUUUGUUUAGCCGAAUGAACGCUGUGGGACGUCCAAUGACUUAUCUUUAAUUCUGGAUAAAAGCUCAGAAAUGAAUCAAGAGCAGGAAUCCACAGCAAAAUUCUAAUGAAGAAAAUGCCAGCAGACUCCCUCAGGAGUGGAUGGCCACAGAGGUCACCAGCACUUUAACAAGUUUGUUAAACAAGACAACACUUAUUUUGAUAAGCACAGGGUUAAUGUAAAUAUUUGUAAAUUAACCUAGUAGAAUGCAGGAAUUUAAAGUUGUAUUAUCAAGUACAUAUAGUAGUUUUGUACGUGUUUCUAUGUGAACUUUAUAUCUCUGUGUUUUGUUAAAAGCUCUAGAGUUGUUCUGUAUAUAUAAAAUACAUUCAGCUAGAUGCAUUGAUAUUUGUCAUUUUUGUCUUCAAUAUGUUUAAUCUGACACAUUUAAUAAAAAUAAAUAUUAAUAAAAACGUCAUAACACGAAGUCAAGUCAGUGAAAUGUUAAUGUAGGCAACGUGUGCUCCAGGUAACAGCUUGCAACUGAUAAAAAAUGAGACACUACUUCUUAUAUGUAUGUAAAGAUUGUUUUUAUAAAGAUAUGUUUAUAAGCUUUAUUUACAUUUUUUGAAUUGUUAAUAUGCUUAACAUAUUACUAGUCGCACUACUUUCAUUUCUUCGUGUCUUUUACCUGUUUAUUAUGGUUUUAGUUUGUAAUGAACUUAAUGGUUUUGUCUUUGAUGAUAACAAUGUUAUCAUUCACCUAUACCAAACUGAGAAGUAUGCUAAAAUUUAUGAAAGCAGCAAUUAAAAAACAAUCUUGUGCUAUUACCUGUUCAUAGCUUAUACACCUUUAUCCAUGCAUGUUAAGUGUUAAUGUAAGUUUUAAUCAUAAUAUGCAGCGCGUGCUUGGAGACAUUCGGCGUCGCUCUUUCUCCUUCUCUAGCCUUAGUAUUUGAAAUGGUCUGCUUCUGUUUCUACCCAAAGAAAAGUCGGUACAUGGCUUCCAAUCUAGACUAAAAACAUAACUCUUUCAGCAACACCUAUUGUAACUCGUGUAUCCUGCUUUUCUCACCCCUCCACACACUUCUCUGUCUCUCUGAUCCUUCGUGUUCGAUGUUAUCUGAUGCCUGUAUGUGUCUUAAUUUUGUGUUUGUACUUGAUUGUCUUAACUAUGUCACACGACCUCUUUACUCCCUGCUUUGGUCUCUUGCGAAAGUCAUCUAGCCAGACCGCAUGUUGGUAAAUGUACUAUGCACAAAUUUUCUUCUGGUUUUUCUUCUUCUUUUUUUUUUUCUUUAUUCUUUAUCUUCUUCUUCUGGUUAUAUUUUUUGUAGGUAUAGUCUCAUUGAAUUAGUGAAUAUGCCCCAUCUUGACACUAACGCUGUAAACUGACACGAAACUCAUAUAAAGGAAGCCUUCAACUUAUAAAUAGCUACGAGUUUCUUCAUUCUGCUAAAUACCCAUGAACUCUGUCUGUGAUAGAUUAUCACUAAUCUCAAUUUACAAUUGUUACGGUUAUCCUUAUUGACACCUGCAUAAAGACAACAGGAAACACG